UGCUAGAAAAGCUUUAAUAGCGCUGGUCUUGUAAGCCAGAGAUAGAAAUAAAAAUUUCUUUUAGUAU
Molecule: transfer RNA, 67 nt
Filed under: Cryptochiton stelleri (gumboot chiton)
Lineage: Eukaryota; Metazoa; Mollusca; Polyplacophora; Chitonida; Mopaliidae
Description: tRNA-Thr
Rfam family: tRNA
About the family: Transfer RNA (tRNA) molecules are approximately 80 nucleotides in length.
Source: RNAcentral